GAUGAACGCUGGCGGCGUGCCUAAUACAUGCAAGUCGAGCGAACGGACGAGAGCCUGCCUCCUCUGAGUUUGGCGGCGGAGGGUGGAUUACACCUUGGAUAACCUACCUAUAAGAUUGGAAUAACUUCGGGAAACCGGGGCUAAUACCGAAUAAUCUUUUGAACCGCAUGGGUAAAGAUUGAAAGACGGUUUUGCUUUCCCUUAUAAAUGGAUCCGCGGCGCAUUAGCUAGUUGGUAAGGUAACGGCUUACCAAGGCAACGAUGCGUAGCCGACCUGAGAGGGUGAUCGGCCACACUGGAACUGAGACACGGUCCAGACUCCUACGGGAGGCAGCAGUAGGGAAUCUUCCGCAAUGGGCGAAAGCCUGACGGAGCAACGCCGCGUGAGUGAUGAAGGUCUUCGGAUCGUAAAACUCUGUUAUUAGGGAAGAACAAAUGUGUAAGUAACUAUGCACAUCUUGACGGUACCUAAUCAGAAAGCCACGGCUAACUACGUG
This 497-nucleotide ribosomal RNA is filed under the name uncultured bacterium. Its description in RNAcentral is "partial 16S ribosomal RNA". It matches the Rfam family "Bacterial small subunit ribosomal RNA", at positions 28 to 507 of the family's 1533-position model. The record is from RNAcentral.